UCGGGAAUUUUGUGCAAUGGGCGAAAGCCUGACACAGCAACGCCGCGUGAAGGAUGAAGUCCCUCGGGAUGUAAACUUCGUAAGAAUAGGAAGAAUAAAUGACGGUACUAUUUGUAAGGUCCGGCUAACUACGUGCCAGCAGCCGCGGUAAUACAGAGGGGGCAAGCGUUGUUCGGAAUUACUGGGCGUAAAGGGCGCGUAGGCGGCCCUCUAAGUCGAACGUGAAAUCCCUGGGCUCAACCCAGGAACUGCGUCCGAGACUGGGGGGCUAGAAUCCGGGAGAGGGAUGUGGAAUUCCAGGUGUAGCGGUGGAAUGCGUAGAUAUCUGGAGGAACAUCGGUGGCGAAGGCGGCAUCCUGGACCGGUAUUGACGCUGAGGCGCGAAAGCCAGGGGAGCAAACGGGAUUAGAUACCCACGUAGUCCCUGAGCGGGCUGGCAAGGCGCAU
This 447-nucleotide ribosomal RNA is filed under the name uncultured bacterium. RNAcentral describes it as "bacterial SSU rRNA". It matches the Rfam family "Bacterial small subunit ribosomal RNA", at positions 355 to 825 of the family's 1533-position model. The record is from RNAcentral.